Small nuclear RNA from Nycticebus coucang (slow loris), 103 nucleotides. The record is from RefSeq and is a predicted model, not a curated record. Lineage: Eukaryota; Metazoa; Chordata; Mammalia; Primates; Lorisidae.
GUGUUCGCUUUGGCAGCACAUACACUACAAUUGGAACAAACAGAGAUUAGCAUGGCCCCUGAGCAAGGAUGACACGCAAUUUCAUGAAGCGUUCCAUAUAAAA